This 261-nucleotide long non-coding RNA is filed under the name Ananas comosus (pineapple). RNAcentral describes it as "long non-coding RNA (ACOM_LNC021185)". Lineage: Eukaryota; Viridiplantae; Streptophyta; Magnoliopsida; Poales; Bromeliaceae. The record is from RNAcentral.
UUCUCCUGUAUCGCGGACAGAGUCUCCCCUAUACAUUCAAGACGUCGCAAUCAAUACAAAGCAAUACAGGAGGUUCCAACCAGGAACAAUAUUCAAUCAAAGAUUACAUAAGGGAGUAUCAUAAACAUAAAUAAAACUAAGCUAUUACAAUCAUUCAACUCACAUAUAUUUACAUAUUACAUCUUGCAUUCUUUUUGCUUCCAAAUACAAUCUGGCUUUAACAAUAUUAUUACAACUUGAUUCUUUUCAUUUUCUUACAUC